UACGUAGGUGACGAGCGUUAUCCGGAUUUAUUGGGCGUAAAGCGCACGCAGGCGGCAGAGAAAGUCUGACGUGAAAUCUCCCGGCUUAACUGGGAGCGGUCGUUGGAAACUACUUGGCUUGAGGCGAUGAGAGGGGUGUGGAAUUCCCGGUGUAGUGGUGGAAUGCGUAGAUAUCGGGAGGAACACCAGUGGCGAAGGCGACUUCCUGGCCUGUUCUUGACGCUGAGGCGCGAAAGCUAGGGUAGCAAACGGG
This 253-nucleotide ribosomal RNA is filed under the name uncultured bacterium. RNAcentral's name for it is "partial 16S ribosomal RNA". It matches the Rfam family "Bacterial small subunit ribosomal RNA", at positions 524 to 776 of the family's 1533-position model. The record is from RNAcentral.